This 626-nucleotide ribosomal RNA is filed under the name uncultured bacterium. RNAcentral's name for it is "bacterial SSU rRNA". It matches the Rfam family "Bacterial small subunit ribosomal RNA", at positions 201 to 847 of the family's 1533-position model. The record is from RNAcentral.
GAAAAACUCCGGUGGUAUAAGAUGGACCCGCGUCUGAUUAGCUGGUUGGUGAGGUAACGGCCCACCAAGGCGACGAUCAGUAGCCGGCCUGAGAGGGUGAACGGCCACAUUGGGACUGAGACACGGCCCAAACUCCUACGGGAGGCAGCAGUGGGGAAUAUUGCACAAUGGGGGAAACCCUGAUGCAGCAACGCCGCGUGAGUGAAGAAGUAUUUCGGUAUGUAAAGCUCUAUCAGCAGGAAAGAAAAUGACGGUACCUGACUAAGAAGCCCCGGCUAACUACGUGCCAGCAGCCGCGGUAAUACGUAGGGGGCAAGCGUUAUCCGGAUUUACUGGGUGUAAAGGGAGCGUAGACGGUUUUGCAAGUCUGAAGUGAAAGCCCGGGGCUUAACCCCGGGACUGCUUUGGAAACUGUAGGACUAGAGUGCAGGAGAGGUAAGUGGAAUUCCUAGUGUAGCGGUGAAAUGCGUAGAUAUUAGGAGGAACACCAGUGGCGAAGGCGGCUUACUGGACUGUAACUGACGUUGAGGCUCGAAAGCGUGGGGAGCAAACAGGAUUAGAUACCCUGGUAGUCCACGCCGUAAACGAUGAUUACUAGGUGUUGGUGGGUAUGACCCAUCGGUGCC